CAGUCGCCGCGGGAAUACGUAGGUGGCAAGCGUUGUCCGGAAUUAUUGGGCGUAAAGGGCUCGCAGGCGGUUUCUUAAGUCUGAUGUGAAAGCCCCCGGCUCAACCGGGGAGGGUCAUUGGAAACUGGGAAACUUGAGUGCAGAAGAGGAGAGUGGAAUUCCACGUGUAGCGGUGAAAUGCGUAGAGAUGUGGAGGGACACCAGUGGCGAAGGCGACUCUCUGGUCUGUAACUGACGCUGAGGAGCGAAAGCGUGGGGAGCGAACAGGAUUAGAUACCCCGGUAGUCCCUGUCUCUUAUAC
RNAcentral lists this ribosomal RNA (301 nucleotides) under uncultured bacterium. RNAcentral's name for it is "partial 16S ribosomal RNA". It matches the Rfam family "Bacterial small subunit ribosomal RNA", at positions 509 to 807 of the family's 1533-position model. The record is from RNAcentral.